CCUCCUUUUAAGAGUAAGUACACACCCGCACUUCGUGCGGGCGCCCAACACAAGUUGCUUGAGCACAUUCGGCAAAGCCUUCCGCCAGGACCUGAGCUUUGGGAUCAUGGGUAUUUGAGAAUGGGUCUGUAGCUCAGUUGGUUAGAGCGCACCCCUGAUAAGGGUGAGGUCGGAAGUUCAACUCUUCCCAGACCCACCAGCUUUAUGCCUAAUUUGCUGGGCGACUGAGAGUUUAUUUUUAACAAUUUUUUGGCCGCCUCUGUAUCCGGCAUAAAACCAACGCCACAAAAAAGACUAUAGCGAGGGGCUGUANCUCAGUCGGGAGAGCACCUGGUUUUGUAACCAGGGAGGUCACCGGGUUCGAACCCGGUCCAGCUCCACCAAUUUGGGCGAGGGGAUAAGAAAAAAAGGAAACUCCACCCCCUUUUCCUUUAAUCCCCUUUUGGGUUGGGGAAUGUUUCUUUUAAACCAAUUUUGGAAUUUGAUUCCCGCCCCUGGUUUAAAAAUCCUUUUUGAAUCC
RNAcentral lists this unclassified non-coding RNA (520 nucleotides) under uncultured Gammaproteobacteria bacterium. RNAcentral's name for it is "partial 16S-23S ribosomal RNA intergenic spacer". The stretch from base 123 to 196 matches the Rfam family "tRNA". The record is from RNAcentral. Lineage: Bacteria; Pseudomonadati; Pseudomonadota; Gammaproteobacteria.